GCACGGGUGAGUAACGCGUGGGUAAUCUGCCCCUGAAUCUGGGAUAACGCUGCGAAAGCGGUGCUAAUACCGGAUGACAUCGAAUUGACUUCGGUUGAUUGGAUCAAAGGUAGCCACUCCAUGGAAGCUACUGUUUGGGGAUGAGCCCGCGUACCAUUAGCUUGUUGGUAGGGUAACGGCCUACCAAGGCGACGAUGGUUAGCUGGUCUGAGAGGAUGAUCAGCCACACUGGAACUGGAACACGGUCCAGACUCCUACGGGAGGCAGCAGUGAGGAAUUUUGCGCAAUGAGGGAAACCUUGACGCAGCAACGCCGCGUGAGUGAUGAAGGCUUUCGGGUCGUAAAGCUCUGUCAAGUGGGAAGAAAUCCCGGGAAGUGAACAGUUUUUCGGGUUGACGGUACCACUGAAGGAAGCACCGGCUAACUCCGUGCCAGCAGCCGCGGUAAUACGGAGGGUGCGAGCGUUAUUCGGAAUUACUGGGCGUAAAAGGGCGCGCAGGGCGGGUCGUGUAAGUCAGAUGUGAAAGCCCGGG
RNAcentral lists this ribosomal RNA (533 nucleotides) under uncultured organism. RNAcentral describes it as "bacterial SSU rRNA". It matches the Rfam family "Bacterial small subunit ribosomal RNA", at positions 100 to 606 of the family's 1533-position model. The record is from RNAcentral.